Molecule: ribosomal RNA, 540 nt
Filed under: Athanas areteformis
Lineage: Eukaryota; Metazoa; Arthropoda; Malacostraca; Decapoda; Alpheidae
Description: partial large subunit ribosomal RNA
Rfam family: Bacterial large subunit ribosomal RNA
Source: RNAcentral
GUCUGUAUGACUCUUAUAUAAAGUCUGGCCUGCCCACUGAUACAAUGUAUUAAAGGGCCGCGGUAUCCUGACCGUGCGAAGGUAGCAUAAUCAAUUGUCUUUUAAUUGAAGGCUUGGAUGAACGGUUUGACGAUGGAGAGUCUGUCUCCCCUAAUCAUCUUAAAUUUAACUUUUGUGUGAGAAGGCACAAAUAUAAUAAGGGGACGAUAAGACCCUAUAAAACUUUAUACUGAGAGGUGAAGUUAGCAAUAAAUAAACUAAAACUAACCUUAACUAUUAAACUGGGGCGGUUGAAAUAUAACUAGUAGCUGUUUUUUUCAAAAAUAUACCUAUAAGUAUUUAUUGAACCUUUAAUAUAAAGAUUAUAAGAUCAAGUUACUUUAGGGAUAACAGCGUAAUUUUCUUUAAGAGUCCAUAUCGACAAGUAUAAGUUGCGACCUCGAUGUUGAAUUAAGGUAUACCCUCAAAAGCAGAAAUUUGAGUUAGUAGGUCUGUUCGACCUUUUAUUCCUUACAUGAUUUGAGUUUAAACCGGUGUGAG